GCGCCCUGCGGAAUCCCUCCAGGAAUUACUCCCUGGUCCUCUCACAGUGGCUGUGGUCUCAGCCUGAGAUAAAAGGCCAGAAGCAGGAAGGUACACAUAUAGACUACAUUUCCCAGCCUCGCUUGCAGUUAAGUGAGGGUCGUGUGAUGGAGUUCUGGCCAAUGGAAGAUGAGAAACUUGAAGGAGUCAGUCCACAAUAAUUUCUGGAGCAUCUACUUUGUACUACCUGCUGUUCUAGGCACUGUGGUUUCACUGGUAACAAGGACAGAACUACUGUCCCCAAGGAGUUAUGUUCUAAUUGGUGGAUGGGAGGACACAGAUUAGGAACACAGAAACAAAUGAGACAGGGUCUUGCUCUGUCUCCCAAGCUGGAGUGUAGCAGCAUGAUCAUGGCUCACUGUGCAGCCUCAACCUCCUGGGCUCAAGUAAUCCUCCUGCCUCAGCCUCCCAAGUAGCUGGGACUAUAGGUAUGUACCACCACACCUGGCUAAUUUUUGUAUUUUCUAUAGAGACAGAGUUUCACCAUGUUGCCCAAGCUGGCCUC
This is a long non-coding RNA of Homo sapiens (human), 544 nucleotides long. NCBI's taxonomy places the organism in Eukaryota, Metazoa, Chordata, Mammalia, Primates, Hominidae. The record is from Ensembl.